RNAcentral lists this unclassified non-coding RNA (296 nucleotides) under Hevea brasiliensis (rubber tree). The record is from RNAcentral. Lineage: Eukaryota; Viridiplantae; Streptophyta; Magnoliopsida; Malpighiales; Euphorbiaceae.
AUAAGAAAAUGAGCGGAGAACAGAGCGCUCAAAACAAUGAGGUGGGAUAGCUUUCUUGACCUGACCAAGCGUGAAUGGUGGUUUUGAGUAAGGAACUCUUUUCAAGAUUUCAGAUUCCAACUUCUUGGGCGAAGGAGGAACAGACAUCCUACCACCGGCUCCCAUUGUUCCACAACCUGAUAAAGGAAGAGGAAGAAUAAAAGAAGAAGGAGAACGAGAAGAAGAGAAAGAAAGCUCUGAACUUUUCAAUCUCAAAAUAUCUCCCUGUGUGGCCGUAGAAUGAAUCGCUGGCCCUG